RNAcentral lists this ribosomal RNA (2558 nucleotides) under Triticum aestivum (bread wheat). Its description in RNAcentral is "partial small subunit ribosomal RNA". The record is from RNAcentral. Lineage: Eukaryota; Viridiplantae; Streptophyta; Magnoliopsida; Poales; Poaceae.
AUGCGCCAUCUUUUAAUACACGCCCAAGCUCGACACCCACUUCCCUCCCUCGGUCCCUCCCCACCUUCCCCCUCCCCCCAAUCCGCGCCUUGGUGCGGGCGAGGUAGCGGCGGCGACGAGACGAGCAGAGCAGAGCGCCGCCACCCAUCCAUGGAGUCGCUCGCCCUCCUCAGCGCUAAGCCCGGCCUCUCUCUCCGCGCGGGGCCCCGCCUCCCCCUCCCGCGACUCCGGGCCACCCGCGCGUCCCUCUCCACCGCGUCCAGCUCCAGGCCCGCCGCCCUCCAAGCCCCGCUCCUCUCGUCGAGGGCCCCCUCCUCGCAGGACGCCGUCCUGGGGUAUGGGCUCUUGAAGCGCAGAAUCAGUGCUGGCGUCUCUUGCAGCGCGGCGGCCGCGGCCGCGGCGGCGGUGCCCCCGGCACAGCCGGAGGUCAAGAAGUUCCUCGGCGUGGGCCUCCCGACUCUCAAGAAGAUCGUGCCCCUGGGCCUGAUGUUCUUCUGCAUCCUGUUCAACUACACCAUCCUUCGGGACACCAAGGACGUGCUGGUGGUCACCGCCAAGGGGAGCAGCGCGGAAAUCAUCCCCUUCCUCAAGACCUGGGUCAACCUGCCCAUGGCCAUCGGCUUCAUGCUCGCAUACUCCAAGCUCUCCGACGUGCUCUCCCGGGAGGCGCUCUUCUACACCGUCAUAUUCCCAUUCAUCGCCUUCUUCGGUCUCUUCGGCUUCGUGCUCUACCCGCUCAGGGAUGCCAUCCAUCCCACCGCCCUCGCCGACAAGCUUCUGGCGGCGCUCGGCCCGAGCUUCCUUGGACCGGUAGCUAUCCUCAGGAUUUGGAGCUUCUGCUUAUUCUAUGUCAUGGCCGAGCUGUGGGGCAGCGUCGUCGUCUCUGUCCUCUUCUGGGGUUUUGCCAACCAGAUCACCACAGUCGAUGAAGCAAAAGAAUUCUACCCUCUAUUUGGCCUUGGGGCAAAUAUUGCCCUUAUCUUUUCUGGGCGUACUGUGAAGUAUUUCUCAAAUUUGCGGAAGACAAUGGGUCCAGGAGUUGAUGGUUGGGAGGUAUCUUUGAAAGGAAUGAUGGGCAUAGUGGUACUUCUUGGGCUUGUCAUUACUUCCAUCUAUUGGGGAGUGAACAAACUUGUGUUGAAUGAUCCUUCUCUUCCAAAAUCUGACCACAAGAAGAAAAAGAACAAACCUAAGCUUAGCAUGAAAGAGAGUAUGAAAGUUCUGAUCUCUUCAAAAUACGUGAGGGACCUUGCUACCUUAGUCGUUGCAUAUGGCAUUAGUAUCAAUCUUGUGGAAGUGACAUGGAAAUCGAAGCUCAAGGCACAGUUCCCCAGUCCAAACGAGUACUCAUCUUUCAUGGGUGAUUUCUCUACCGCAACUGGAAUUGCAACUUUCACGAUGAUGCUGUUAGGCCGGAUUAUAUUCCAAAGAUUUGGCUGGGGGGUGGCUGCCAUGAUCACCCCCACAGUUUUGUUGGUGACUGGCGUUGGUUUCUUCUCUCUGAUUUUGUUUGGGCAACCACUGACUCCCCUGCUUGCCACGUGGGGUAUGACCCCUCUUCUUGCGGCUGUUUAUGUGGGUGCGUUGCAGAACAUAUUUAGCAAGAGUGCAAAGUACAGUUUAUUCGACCCAUGCAAGGAAAUGGCCUAUAUUCCUUUGGAUGGAGAUAUGAAGUUGAAGGGAAAGGCAGCCAUUGAUGUUGUCUGCAACCCAUUGGGCAAGUCGGGUGGUGCACUGAUCCAACAGUUUUUGAUCCUGAUAUUUGGCUCUUUGGCAAACUCGACCCCCUACCUUGGUGGUAUACUGUUGGUCAUCGUGCUUGCGUGGCUAGGCGCGGCAAGAUCAUUGGACAAGCAGUUCUCAAGCUUGGCCAAAGAGGAUCUCAGAAAGGAGAUGUCGAAAGAGAAAGUAGAAACGGCGGCACCCAAGGAACCUGAGUCGGCUACUGAUGUAUUGGUGGAGCAAUCAAAUGGAACUGAGAACUCACCAUCCGACUCAUCUCCAGCUCAAUAGACCGGUCAACCUUCUUUGGAGAAGCCAUAGGCAGGAGGAUACUGGUUACGUUGAGCAGAAAUAAUGAUGAAGGAACGAUUGACGAUUUCUUUCCAGAGUUUGUAACAGUGAGCAGCAUCAAGGUGCUGGUUAGUUUGUAAUGGUAAGCAAAUUUUGACAACUGGCCUGGUAGGCCUGGUGAGCCGGUGUGGAAAUUCAACCAUUGUUGCAAUUACAACACACAGAUUUUUAUUGUGUUCUCGCAAAGUUUCUGUCACACGGGCUCAGAACUUUACCAUGUCAUUGGUGCCUGGUCUCAUUUCCGCUGGAAUUGAACUGCUACUCUCUAUAGGCAGGAGCAAGCAAUGAAUUCAGCAUGUCCAACGACAAGCAGAGCAUUAGCAGCGGCUGGCCGAGAGCCGAGAGGGCAAAGUAGCAGAAACAUGUGAGCCCAUCCUUUUGUUGCCCAUUUCUAGGUCGUCUCAUAGGGCGGCCCAAGUGGUGGGAUGAUGAUGUGAUCACACAAAUAGCAAACCCCAUGUACACACUCUACAUAUAGGAGGACG